This 309-nucleotide ribosomal RNA is filed under the name uncultured soil bacterium. Its description in RNAcentral is "bacterial SSU rRNA". It matches the Rfam family "Bacterial small subunit ribosomal RNA", at positions 26 to 339 of the family's 1533-position model. The record is from RNAcentral.
AGAUUGAACGCUGGCGGCAUGCUUUACACAUGCAAGUCGAACGGUAACAGGCCGCAAGGUGCUGACGAGUGGCGAACGGGUGAGUAAUGCAUCGGAACGUGCCCAGUCGUGGGGGAUAACGCAGCGAAAGCUGUGCUAAUACCGCAUACGAUCUAUGGAUGAAAGCGGGGGACCGAAAGGCCUCGCGCGAUUGGAGCGGCCGAUGUCAGAUUAGCUAGUUGGUGGGGUAAAGCCCACCGAAGGCGACGAUCUGUAGCUGGUCUGAGAGGACGACCAGCCACACUGGAACUGAGACACGGUCCAGGUACC